GCGGGCGUAGCUCAAUGGCAGAGCUGCUGCCUUCCAAGCAAACGACGAGGGUUCGAUUCCCUUCGCCCGCUCCA
The sequence is a transfer RNA, 74 nucleotides long. It matches the Rfam family "tRNA". From Rfam's summary of the family: Transfer RNA (tRNA) molecules are approximately 80 nucleotides in length. Their secondary structure includes four short double-helical elements and three loops (D, anti-codon, and T loops).